GUACUUUCCUUGGCAGCGCAUAUACUGAAAUUGGAAUGAUAUAGAGAAGAUAAGCAUGACCCGUUGGCCAAGAAUGACACACAAAUUUGUGAAGAAUUCCAUAUUUGA
Small nuclear RNA from Monodelphis domestica (gray short-tailed opossum), 108 nucleotides. Lineage: Eukaryota; Metazoa; Chordata; Mammalia; Didelphimorphia; Didelphidae. The record is from Ensembl.